UUAAUAUAAUUGAAUUUCAAAUGUAAAAAUAAUCUCUGAGUGACAUAAUAAACAGUUGUUUUAAUACAUAUUACAUGACUUCUAAAUCCCCAAAGCAGCGCUUAUGGCAGGCUGACAGGUGUGUGCUGCAGCCGGCCUCCAUUUUGCCGAGUACGGUUUUUGCCACGGCGCUGGACGUGUAGCUGGCAAAAUCAAAAUGGUGGCUUAAGUUAUUAAAACUGAGCAGCUUUCAUCAUUGGCUGCUGAACGUCAAGGUUGGAGGAGCAGCGAGGAUUAAUGUCCUUUAAAGCACAAAGCCUGCUGUCACUGCCCGCUCUCUCUCUCUCAGCUGAUCCCGUCAUCUCAUCAUCCCACGCCGUCCUCUGCUCUCUUUUGCUCUUUCUCUCUUUCCGGCCAGCUGUCCAGUCGACGUCCAUCACUGCAGGAUUUUUUUCUGCUUCUCUCUCUCUCUCAUUUUCCCAGAUUUCCCUUUUUUUCUUUCUGAUUUUCCCACCAUCUCUUCCUCCUCUGGAUCCGGGCCGAGAUAUGAAGCGGCACCAUGGGUUUUAUGGAAUUCUACCUGGAGAUUGACCCCGUCACCCUGAACCUCAUCAUCCUGGUUGCCAGCUAUGUCAUCCUGCUGCUCGUCUUCCUCAUCUCCUGCAUCCUGUACGACUGCCGCGGCAAAGACCCCACCAAGGAGUACGCCCCUGACAACACGCCAGCGCCGCCCAGCCAGUCGCCCAUACGCCUGGUGGUCAUGCAGAACUCGCCCACCACCACCCGGUACGAGCCCAACAACAAAGCGAGCCACGCCGAGCUGCCGACGCCGGACCUGAGCCGGGACAGAGGAGAGCGGGAGCGGGAGAAGAGGAGUACUCUGGUCUGAGAGGAAGUGGAAGGUUCGGACAGAUAACCAUGAAGUGCUGCUCUUUCAUUCCCAGACUCUUAUUUUUUAAUUUGAACAUCCCGGAUGGCGCUGAGGAGCCAGCAGGAGAGUUUUGACCUCACCUGCAAAUCCCAGAAUUCCCUCCAGUUACCACCACCGUCCUCCGCUCACCUACAGCGCCAUCAGCUCACCACGGGAUAGUGGAUCUGUGGGAUUCUGGAGAUUCGGCUUCACCGGGAUCUGCAGAAACUUCAGAGCUCGCAGUGUGUGAACUUAAAGUCAUCAGUACCAGAUUCUCCAUCUCACCUCAGUGAUGAUGUGACCCCACCCCACCAGCCUGACAAAGGCUGUGUGGGUGGUGUCAGCACCUUCCCUGAAACCACAGAGUGUGGCCAUCACUGGAAAACUGAAGAUAGCAGUGAUGGAGUAGGGCGCUGGCUGCGGUUCUUCAGUGGAUGCCAUCUAAUCCAGGAGGAACACUCCUCGCUACCCUGCAGGAGUUUAACAAUAUAAAGUGCACUGUAUUCAAUCCUUAAAUACACAUGUUAAGUAUGCUUCUUCAUUUUGAGUAAACCGGA
Oreochromis aureus is the source of this 1446-nucleotide long non-coding RNA. NCBI's taxonomy places the organism in Eukaryota, Metazoa, Chordata, Actinopteri, Cichliformes, Cichlidae. The record is from Ensembl.